UUUUACUAUGGUAAACACCUCUCUUUUGAUGUGCGAGUGCUACUCUUCUUAAUUCCUUCCUUUCAUUUGAACCAAUAUAAGUGUCAACAACACUUUCCAUGGAUUUUGGUUCAGGCCCAAAAGGAUUUCAACAAUUCUCAAGAAGAAAUUUAUGUCGACAUAUGUAGACUUCAAUAUACGAUUCUCAUGAAUCAAUAUCAUUAGCGGAAUUCUCAUUAUGCCUCUUAACUCCUUGUGAUUUCCCACAACAACGGAGUCAAGGUGUUUCGAUGUCCCAGCACCAUAAAAAUGUGUGCACAUCUGCGCUGAGCUCUGGAUGACGCGCAUCCAUCAGGUGUCAUUCAACGCGAGGUUGAAUCACAUUUACUCACUCAGGAGACCAUUUUCGCUGAAACAUAUGAGAACUUAAUCCCAUGUGACCAGAAUUCUCCCCCUCUUGCUCUCAUUCGGGGAUACGAGUGGUUAUUAGGUACGUCCACUCGUUCUGAUACGAAAAUCCAGUGACACCUUUGUCAUGAGUAAAUGUAUAUGGUAGAUUAUUUGCAAUACGUUGCAAAUUCUCAUAAUGUGAAUCUCUAGUUCAGAUUCUUAAGUACGUGGACAAAAUGUCUAUGACAUUUCUUUUGCAUUUCCUGGCAUUCUAUGUGGUACAUUUCUCCCCCUAAUGCCAUAAAAUAUCCUUAUUGCAAAAGCAAUCAGCGUACGAGCUACAUAUAACUCUCCCUCGCUAGGGUUAAGGUAUUUGACGGAUUAACAAUCAUACCACAGUUAUUCCUCACAUAGAUCCCAAAUAUAUGUGAAGGCCCGUAAUGUACGCUAGGUUGGUGAUAUCGGUGUGCAACCGAAUUACCGCAGAUGGGAAAAACUUCACUAAUUUCCACGUACAAACUGCAAGGGGUGCAUUAUUAUAUGCAUUUGAUCUUAUUUAGAACAAAUAUGCGGCGUAUGAGACCGCAUGUUACCACCAACAAAAUGUUGGAUCAUCAUAAUUCUGUAGCAAUGGCCAUGCAAUUUGACUCUCUUUGACAAGAGAUCUAGC
Molecule: long non-coding RNA, 1039 nt
Filed under: Hordeum vulgare
Lineage: Eukaryota; Viridiplantae; Streptophyta; Magnoliopsida; Poales; Poaceae
Description: long non-coding RNA (HVUL_LNC001881)
Source: RNAcentral